Molecule: signal recognition particle RNA, 97 nt
Filed under: Thiotrichales bacterium
Lineage: Bacteria; Pseudomonadati; Pseudomonadota; Gammaproteobacteria; Thiotrichales
Description: signal recognition particle sRNA small type
Rfam family: Bacterial small signal recognition particle RNA
About the family: The signal recognition particle (SRP) is a universally conserved ribonucleoprotein involved in the co-translational targeting of proteins to membranes. Archaeal SRP consists of a 7S RNA and homologues of the eukaryotic SRP19 and SRP54 proteins.
Source: RNAcentral
UUCUGGUUCCCUCGCGACGAACAGCUGUGAACCCCGCCAGGCCCGGAAGGGAGCAACGGUAACAGUGACUUCGGGUGCCGGGGUGUAGCUGGGGCGG